Molecule: ribosomal RNA, 247 nt
Filed under: uncultured bacterium
Lineage: Bacteria
Description: partial 16S ribosomal RNA
Rfam family: Bacterial small subunit ribosomal RNA
Source: RNAcentral
AUACGGAGGAUCCAAGCGUUAUCCGGAUUUAUUGGGUUUAAAGGGUGCGUAGGCGGAUUAUUAAGUCAGUGUUGAAAGACUAAAGCUCAACUUUAGAAGUGGCAUUGAUACUGGUAGUCUUGAGUACAGAUGAAGUGGGCGGAAUGUGUCAUGUAGCGGUGAAAUGCAUAGAUAUGACACAGAACACCGAUUGCGAAGGCAGCUCACUAAGUUGUAACUGACGCUGAGGCACGAAAGCGUGGGGAUC